CUGAACACCUACCAUUCUUUGUUAUGGUACAGGUCUGCAUUCAACACUGCCAUCAAGUGUGACCACAUCAACAACAAUUUGGCAGAGAGUUUCAACAACAAGGUGAAGGAGUUAAAAGAUUUGCCUGUGCAUGACAUGGUUGACCAAAUCAGGAUCAUGCUCAUGCGGUUGUGGGAGUUGAGAAGAAGGAUAGGUGAUUGUCUGCAAGGUGAUAAGCUUCCACCAGUGGUACAACAGGUGGUCAAUAGGAGCAGAUGUCUUUCACAUUUGUUUGUUGAAAAAUCUUCACCUUGGGGUGCUGAAGUUAGAGAUAACAAAACUGGAAGGAGACAUGUUGUUAACACUGAAUUGCAUGAUUGCACUUGCCUCGAGUGGCAACACACUGGUAAACCAUGUGAGCAUGCCAUUCUCUUCUUAGCAUCCCAACCGAAGAUAAACAUGCACCCAUAUUUGCAUGAAUAUUAUUCGGUAGCAAGAUUCAAAGCUGCAUAUGCUACUCCAAUUCCAGCACUUACA
RNAcentral lists this ribosomal RNA (516 nucleotides) under Triticum aestivum (bread wheat). Its description in RNAcentral is "partial small subunit ribosomal RNA". The record is from RNAcentral. Lineage: Eukaryota; Viridiplantae; Streptophyta; Magnoliopsida; Poales; Poaceae.